Molecule: ribosomal RNA, 427 nt
Filed under: uncultured bacterium
Lineage: Bacteria
Description: bacterial SSU rRNA
Rfam family: Bacterial small subunit ribosomal RNA
Source: RNAcentral
CGAGGAAUAUUGGGCAAUGCCCGCAAGGGUGACCCAGCAACGCCGCGUGGAGGAUGAAAGCCGUAAGGUUGUAAACUCCUGUGAGAGGGGACGAAUGAUUACGUUUCGUAAGGAACGUGAAGUGACUGUACCCUCAGAGGAAGCCCCGGCUAACUACGUGCCAGCAGCCGCGGUAAUACGUAGGGGGCAAGCGUUGUCCGGAUUUACUGGGUGUAGAGGGCGCGUAGGCGGGUUGAUAAGUUAGAGGUGAAAUCCUGCGGCUUAACCGCAGAACUGCCCCUAAUACUGUCAAUCUUGAGUUCAGAAGAGAGAAGCGGAAUUCCAGGUGUAGUGGUGAAAUACGUAGAUAUCUGGAAGAACACCAGUUGCGAAGGCGGCUUCUUGGUCUGACACUGACGCUGAGGCGCGAAAGCGUGGGGAGCAAACA